CUACGGGUUGCUCCAGUGAGGAAUAUUGCACAAUGGGGGGAACCCUGAUGCAGCAACGCCGCGUGGAGGAUGACGCAUUUCGGUGUGUAAACUCCUUUUAUAUGUCAAGAAAAUGACGGUAGCAUAUGAAUAAGCACCGGCUAACUCCGUGCCAGCAGCCGCGGUAAUACGGAGGGGGCAAGCGUUACUCGGAAUCACUGGGCGUAAAGGACGCGUAGGCGGGUUGGAAAGUCAGGUGUGAAAUCCUACAGCUUAACUGUAGAACUGCACUUGAAACUUCUAAUCUAGAGUAUGGGAGGGGGAGAUGGAAUUAGUGGUGUAGGGGUAAAAUCCGUAGAUAUCACGAGGAAUACCUAAAGCGAAGGCGAUCUCCUGGAACAUUACUGACGCUAAGGCGUGAAAGCGUGGGGAGCAAACAGGAUUAGAUACCCUGGUAGUC
Molecule: ribosomal RNA, 439 nt
Filed under: uncultured bacterium
Lineage: Bacteria
Description: partial 16S ribosomal RNA
Rfam family: Bacterial small subunit ribosomal RNA
Source: RNAcentral